CAUCCACGGUGGUUUACGCUCCGGGAUUCUCAGCAGAGGCCUAGCCCAGUGUGGUCCCGGUGUCUUCUUCUUCUUCUCUUCAAAGGUAUUUACACCUUUUAGAAAUAGAUGACAGCUCGACGCCUAUACAUGUGCGUCUUGAAAAACUGAAAAAGGAGAUUGAUGCACUCAGUUGUCUACCACCAUCGACUACGUGCACCAACCAGGGAGCUGCCACAGAAUCGACAUCUCGGAAAAAAACGACUGAUCGUCGUUAUCAAACGGGGGUUGCAGGGAAAAAAAAAAGUACAUACGGUUGACCAGUCUGAGAGACCUUCUACAAGCAGGGAGCAGCUUGACCUGUCUACACCAACAAAGGACACAUGGAACUAUCCAGGAUGCUUGACUGACGAGGAAAUGCUGCAGGGGAUCUGUGACUAUGAAGAAGAGAGUACUACAGUAGAAGCAACAUCGAAAGAGUGUGUAACCCCAUUUCAACAAAACAGAGCAGGUAUACCCACAGAACCCACGGUUGUGAUUGUGCACCCGAGGGACACCGCUAACACCUUAUAUGUAGAGUUGAUAAAUGAAAUCAGUGAACUGCGUCGUUCCAACACCGCAUUAAAAGAGAUAGUAACCGAUCUAUGUAAGAAACAAGAGGAGGCUAGACAAACAUAGGACACCAACGUCAGCUCCAUAAAACAAUACCUGAUAGCUCAGAAUGCAUCCAGUGAAGCUAUCAUAGCUCUACUUACAAAUACAUUUUAUCCAAGGUAAUCUACUAGGGAUGGUGUCUAUAAGGGGUGGUGUCUAAAUGAACAAUACAGACGUGUAGUAUGCCUCCCCCCAGAAAGUUUUGAAGAGGGGCACGGGUGAUAUACAACGAUCAGGGGAUAACCAUAAUAAUAAUAAUAUAAAUAAUGAUGAUGGGUAUAGGGUCCUGUUACAGAAUACAGAGGAACACCUUAAAAGCCUACAAGCACUGGUGAAGAGAUCACACGUUGUAGCUGCUGCUGCUGCAUACCCUGCAGAAGCCUUUCAUGAUGUUGACCGAAUUCAUUAUACAGAACAACAUUCAUCGUAUCUAGAUAGUGGGUAUGCAGACUUGGUCAGUGUCCUAGACCCUGGGUUUAAUACCUCCGGCGCAAAUAGCCAUGUGUUGGAUCAUGCCGACGGACCACUUGUGUACACAAACAAUGAUGCAGGGGCUGUGGGGUGUGUGUCGGCAGAAAUAUGUGACGACCGGCUGAAUCAGAUGGGGACAAAUGGAGAUGUGGAGCAUGAACAGGCUGUUGGGGGGCCUGCUACGUGUCAAGCGGGAGGGUCAGGGGAGCAGGCCCGAACAGAAGGGUGGCAUGUUGAUACACUAACAGGCGGAGGGGAGAUAAUGAGGGGGGGUGAGACCUCCUCAGGCAUAGAGGGAAGGACAGUCACCAGGAGAGAGAUGCCUUCAUUCAAUGCAUUUGAGCUUAGACAAAGGGUUGAUUUCAGAAACGUGGAUCUUACUGACCUCGAGCAAAUCCCCUACAUAGUCAGAGAAAGAGUGGCGGGUGUAAUUGAUAGAGCUGUAGAGGCCUCUCCGGCUGGUAGUGUGCUGAACGUUUUGUUUCGGGGGCCUUCAUUGGCUAGUGAUAUACAAGCUGUUCUACGUGUAAACGAGUUGUACAACGCUGACUUGUUUAUGGAGCAAAUUGCACAAGUAAUACAGAGCAAUGAUGAGUCUAUAACGGAUGAUGAAUUGGAAUUAGUGAUCACCGUAGCUAAAAAUAGAAACGGGGGGGUCUACCUAAAAUUAGCAAAUGUACCCUAUGAUGAGAUAUUAUCAAAGAAGUGUCGGUUUCUACACACCCCAGACAAUACUGAUAAUAACCUGUGCUUUUCGCUCUGUUUAGCACAUUUAAAUCAUCCAGACAUGUCCCUGCAAGCUAAAGUGAGAUUUGCAACUCAACUGUUGGUCUGUGGUCUGUUGGAUAGGAAGUCCAGUAUCCAGUUACAGAGGAAAGUGUUGAUACCCAGGUGACUGAGUUUCGUGAUU
Non-coding RNA from Gasterosteus aculeatus aculeatus (three-spined stickleback), 2014 nucleotides. Lineage: Eukaryota; Metazoa; Chordata; Actinopteri; Perciformes; Gasterosteidae. The record is from RefSeq and is a predicted model, not a curated record.